This 435-nucleotide ribosomal RNA is filed under the name uncultured bacterium. RNAcentral describes it as "bacterial LSU rRNA". It matches the Rfam family "Bacterial large subunit ribosomal RNA", at positions 495 to 914 of the family's 2925-position model. The record is from RNAcentral.
CUAGUAAUGUAAAUGAAAGUUGAAAAAGUUUCCAUUUUUGGAUAUUUAAAAGAAACUGAAAUUUCAAACUAAUUAGUAGUUAUUGCUUUUUUAUAAGUUAAUUAAAAAAAUUUAUAAGGAUAUAAGUAAUAGUGUACCUUUUGCACAAGGGUCCAACAAGUUAAUUUAUAUAGCAAGUCAAAAUGAGACGUAAAGAAAUUAAGUUUGAAAAAUAGCUAAUAGUUAUAUGAAUUAAACCCGAAACCAAAGGAUUUAACCGUGAACAAGCCGAAAAUAAGUUUUAUUGGAGGGCUGAACCAAUAUUUGUUGCAAUAAAAUUUGGAUGAUUUACGGUUCGGAGUGAAAAGCUAAUCGACUUUGGUGAUAGCUGGUUUUCUGCGAAAACUAUUUAGGUAGUGUGUUAUUAAUAAAUAAUAAAUUAGGUAAAGUACUUAU